Molecule: long non-coding RNA, 437 nt
Filed under: Brassica napus (rape)
Lineage: Eukaryota; Viridiplantae; Streptophyta; Magnoliopsida; Brassicales; Brassicaceae
Description: long non-coding RNA (BNAP_LNC002686)
Source: RNAcentral
UCCAAUCAUGAUUUAGAAAUAUCUUUUAAACCUAUAUAUUUUUCUUUCCUUUCUUUUAUUUUUUGGCUUUAGAAAACAAAAUACCUAGAGCACGUAUGUCUUGUCUUUAUAAAUUGUACAAAUAAAUAAUUAAAUCACAUCAAACUUACAACCAAAAAUCUACAACAACAAUUUAUACAGCUACAGAAAAAAAUUCUACAACAUUAAUUGUACAACAAAAUAUAUAAAACUACAGCUCUUUCCAAUCAACCUCAUACUAGGAUAAGACAUGCGCCUUACGCAGAGUGAAUUUAUAGGAAUUUUUUUAAAGAAAUAUUGUAUGAAAAAUUAAAAUUUAUAUUCCUAAUCGAAUUAAUAUUUUUGGCCCUUAAAUUGUUUUUAAAAUAUUUUUUGUUAAUUACAUAAUUUGCUUACUGAUUAGCUGAUUUCAUUUUUUA